GAUGAACGCUGGCGGCGUGCCUAAUACAUGCAAGUCGAGCGAACAGACGAGGAGCUUGCUCCUCUGACGUUAGCGGCGGACGGGUGAGUAACACGUGGAUCACCUACCUAUAAUACUGGGAUAACUUCGGGAAACCGGAGCUAAUACCAGAUAAUAUAUUGAACCGCAUGGUUCAAUAGUGAAAGACGGUUUUGCUGUCACUUAUAGAUGGAUCCGCGCCGCAUUAGCUAGUUGGUAAGGUAACGGCUUACCAAGGCGACGAUGCGUAGCCGACCUGAGAGGGUGAUCGGCCACACUGGAACUGAGACACGGUCCAGACUCCUACGGGAGGCAGCAGUAGGGAAUCUUCCGCAAUGGGCGAAAGCCUGACGGAGCAACGCCGCGUGAGUGAUGAAGGUCUUCGGAUCGUAAAACUCUGUUAUUAGGGAAGAACAAAUGUGUAAGUAACUAUGCACGUCUUGACGGUACCUAAUCAGAAAGCCACGGCUAACUACGUG
Molecule: ribosomal RNA, 497 nt
Filed under: uncultured bacterium
Lineage: Bacteria
Description: partial 16S ribosomal RNA
Rfam family: Bacterial small subunit ribosomal RNA
Source: RNAcentral